GCCCCCGUAGCUCAGGGGAUUAGAGCACUGGCCUCCGGAGCCGGGUGCGCAGGUUCGAAUCCUGCCGGGGGCG
Molecule: transfer RNA, 73 nt
Filed under: Acidimicrobiia bacterium
Lineage: Bacteria; Bacillati; Actinomycetota; Acidimicrobiia
Also listed under: 1 other name
Description: tRNA-Arg
Rfam family: tRNA
About the family: Transfer RNA (tRNA) molecules are approximately 80 nucleotides in length. Their secondary structure includes four short double-helical elements and three loops (D, anti-codon, and T loops).
Source: RNAcentral